This 84-nucleotide transfer RNA is filed under the name Cyanobacteriota bacterium. RNAcentral's name for it is "Cyanobacteria bacterium tRNA-Leu". It matches the Rfam family "tRNA". From Rfam's summary of the family: Transfer RNA (tRNA) molecules are approximately 80 nucleotides in length. Their secondary structure includes four short double-helical elements and three loops (D, anti-codon, and T loops). Lineage: Bacteria; Bacillati; Cyanobacteriota. The record is from RNAcentral. RNAcentral also lists the same sequence under 1 other name.
GCGGAAUUGGCGGAAUUGGUAGACGCGCUAGGUUCAGGUCCUAGUGCCCGUUUGGGCAUCCGGGUUCGAGUCCCGGAUUCCGCA